Long non-coding RNA from Arabidopsis thaliana (thale cress), 343 nucleotides. RefSeq annotates it as other RNA. The transcript is spliced from 2 exons. The record is from RefSeq. Lineage: Eukaryota; Viridiplantae; Streptophyta; Magnoliopsida; Brassicales; Brassicaceae.
UAGCAUUUUCCCCUCUCGUGUUUCCCCCACUUUCUACAAUCUCAUCCUCUCUCUCAUAUUUUUUUCUAAUACCACCAAAACAUAAAUUAUUUUCUAGCUUUACACGAUCUAUGGGAUUGAGCUGUGGAAGAGUGGGCUUCAAAAUUGUUGAACCAGGCCGAGUUAGUUGAGGCAGCCCAACUGACCGUUGGAGUGUCUAGAAACAGAGAACUUAACAGAAACAUAGACCAAGUGCUUCAUUUUAUACCUUCCUUCUUCCAAAAGCCUUGUAUCUUCUCUUAGUUUUUCUUCUUUCCUCUUGUAUACACCUGAGAUUUUGCGGGGAGCUCGUAAAGUCGACUCG